RNAcentral lists this ribosomal RNA (497 nucleotides) under uncultured bacterium. RNAcentral describes it as "partial 16S ribosomal RNA". It matches the Rfam family "Bacterial small subunit ribosomal RNA", at positions 28 to 507 of the family's 1533-position model. The record is from RNAcentral.
GAUGAACGCUGGCGGCGUGCCUAAUACAUGCAAGUCGAGCGAACAGACGAGGAGCUUGCUCCUCUGACGUUAGCGGCGGACGGGUGAGUAACACGUGGAUAACCUACCUAUAAGACUGGGAUAACUUCGGGAAACCGGAGCUAAUACCGGAUAAUAUAUUGAACCGCAUGGUUCAAUAGUGAAAGACGGUUUUGCUGUCACUCAUAGAUGGAUCCGCGCCGCAUUAGCUAGUUGGUAAGGUAACGGCUUACCAAGGCAACGAUGCGUAGCCGACCUGAGAGGGUGAUCGGCCACACUGGAACUGGGACACGGUCCAGACUCCUACGGGAGGCAGCAGUAGGGAAUCUUCCGCAAUGGGCGAAAGCCUGACGGAGCAACGCCGCGUGAGUGAUGAAGGUCUUCGGAUCGUAAAACUCUGUUAUUAGGGAAGAACAAAUGUGUAAGUAACUAUGCACGUCUUGACGGUACCUAAUCAGAAAGCCACGGCUAACUACGUG